RNAcentral lists this ribosomal RNA (465 nucleotides) under uncultured bacterium. RNAcentral's name for it is "partial 16S ribosomal RNA". It matches the Rfam family "Bacterial small subunit ribosomal RNA", at positions 339 to 795 of the family's 1533-position model. The record is from RNAcentral.
CUACGGGUGGCUGCAGUGGGGAAUAUUGGACAAUGGGGGAAACCCUGAUCCGGCAAUGCCGCGUGUGUGAAGAAGGCCUGCGGGUUGUAAAGCACUUUCGGUUGGGAGGACUGCUUCUAGCACUAAUAUUGUUGGAAGUUGACGUUACCUUCAGAAGAAGCACCGGCUAACACCGUGCCAGCAGCCGCGGUAAUACGGAGGGUGCAAGCGUGAAUCGGAAUUACUGGGCGUAAAGCGCGCGUAGGCGGCUAGAUCAGUCGGGUGUGAAAGCCCCGGGCUUAACCUGGGAACUGCAUCCGAUACUGUCUAGCUUGAGUACAGGAGAGGAGAGUGGAAUUCCACAUGUAGCGGUGAAAUGCGUAGAUAUGUGGAGGAACACCAAUGGCGAAGGCAGCUCUCUGGCCUGAUACUGACGCUGAGGUGCGAAAGCGUGGGGAGCAAACAGGAUUAGAUACCCCGGUAGUC